GUGCUUGUAGUUCAAUGGCAGAAUAUCCGGCUGUGAACCGGAAGAACAGGGUUCGAUCCCCGCCAGCACC
RNAcentral lists this transfer RNA (70 nucleotides) under Chitinophaga polysaccharea. RNAcentral describes it as "tRNA-His". It matches the Rfam family "tRNA". From Rfam's summary of the family: Transfer RNA (tRNA) molecules are approximately 80 nucleotides in length. Their secondary structure includes four short double-helical elements and three loops (D, anti-codon, and T loops). Further hydrogen bonds mediate the characteristic L-shaped molecular structure. tRNAs have two regions of fundamental functional importance: the anti-codon, which is responsible for specific mRNA codon recognition, and the 3' end, to which the tRNAs corresponding amino acid is attached (by aminoacyl-tRNA synthetases). tRNAs cope with the degeneracy of the genetic code in two manners: having more than one tRNA (with a specific anti-codon) for a particular amino acid; and 'wobble' base-pairing, i.e. permitting non-standard base-pairing at the 3rd anti-codon position. Lineage: Bacteria; Pseudomonadati; Bacteroidota; Chitinophagia; Chitinophagales; Chitinophagaceae. The record is from RNAcentral.